Molecule: ribosomal RNA, 274 nt
Filed under: uncultured bacterium
Lineage: Bacteria
Description: partial 16S ribosomal RNA
Rfam family: Archaeal small subunit ribosomal RNA
Source: RNAcentral
AAACCAGCACCUCAAGUGGUCAGGAGGAUUGUUGGGCCUAAAGCAUCCGUAGCCUGUUCUAUAAGUUUCCGGUUAAAUCCACUAGCUCAACUAGUGGGCUGCCGAAAAUACUGUAGAACUAGGGAGUGGGAGAGGUAGACGGUAUUCGGUAGGAAGGGGUAAAAUCCUUUGAUCUAUUGAGGACCACCUGUGGCGAAGGCGGUCUACCAGAACACGUUCGACGGUGAGGGAUGAAAGCUGGGGGAGCAAACCGGAUUAGAAACCCCAGUAGUCC